Molecule: long non-coding RNA, 963 nt
Organism: Canis lupus familiaris (dog)
Lineage: Eukaryota; Metazoa; Chordata; Mammalia; Carnivora; Canidae
Exons: 3
Source: RefSeq, a predicted model, not a curated record
ACUAUGUGUAUUGCUGCUGCUUCUGCUGCACUUUGUUGGUUUGUUCUUACUCAAUCUUAAAAUGUUAUGACAUUUAAAAUCAUGUUUCUCUUUAAAAUCUCCUUCGUAAUGACAUUGGUGGAAAUAAGUGGAGCCGAGAUUGCGCAUGUUCGGGCAUGACUGAGAGCUGAGGGAGGAAAGGAGGAGCCUCAGAAGAAGCAAAGCUUGAGUGGCUGGGUGCAGAAAGACAUUCAGAAGAAGACAUAGAGACUACAUGGACAUUAUCAUCUCUUAAAAGUUUAAAGAAGAAACUACAGAAGAGCAUGGAGAUAUUGUAGGAAGUAAAUGGAGAUUUUGCAGUGCCUCCUUCCCCUUGCACCAGCACUACCAUCAGCGCUGCUGGAGAAGGGGCUUUGAAAUGGGAAGUGUGUACAUCAAGAGCCAUAAUGAAGAGAAAGAUGUGAAAAGGAGCUAUCAACCUAUUGAAAUCAGAGCAAUCAUAUAAUCCUUCCAAACUUCGGAGAGUGAAAAGGGAUACUAUCAAUAUUUACAGAGGAAUGAAGAACUUAAACUGACCAGGACUCUUCAAGAAACCAGAAUGUAUGUCCAUCCUAAUUAAAAUCCUCUGUAGCAAGAAGUCUUAACCAACAUGGGCAGGAAGAAGAGCUUUAAAAACAAAUAUGCUGGUUGACAAUUUUCUCUCAGCUCUUUUAUGUCUGAAGUAGUUUUCUAUGGAAAUUUAUGGUUUUAUAUCAAUUAUCUGGUUAACAGCCAGAAUAUCUGACAAAAUAUCUGGAGGAUUAUUUUGUUCAUCACAUAUAUUUCUUCCAUAUUCUCCAGGAGAGAAUAUCCAAGAAAUAUCUAGGGAUUCAAAAAAAAAGUAAGUCAUAAAUUACUGAGAACUUAUUUUUUUCUUGGUAUCAGAAUAUUAAGUGUCAGAAAACAGCUUUUUUUGUGUGUGUGAGGAAAAAUUGCCCUACAAAC